This 468-nucleotide ribosomal RNA is filed under the name uncultured bacterium. RNAcentral's name for it is "partial 16S ribosomal RNA". It matches the Rfam family "Bacterial small subunit ribosomal RNA", at positions 28 to 507 of the family's 1533-position model. The record is from RNAcentral.
GACGAACGCUGGCGGCGUGCUUAACACAUGCAAGUCGAACGGAAAGGCCCUGCUUUUGUGGGGUGCUCGAGUGGCGAACGGGUGAGUAACACGUGAGUAACCUGCCCUUGUCUUUGGGAUAACUUCAGGAAACUCGGGCUAAUACCGGAUAGGAGCUCCUGCUGCACGGUGGGGGUUGGAAAGAUUCGGCGGUUGGGGCUGGACUCGCGGCUUAUCAGCUUGUUGGUCGGGUAGUGGAUUACCAAGGCUUUGACGGGUAGCCGGCCUGAGAGGGUGACCGGCCACCUUGGGACUGCGAUACGGCCCAGACUCCUACGGGAGGCAGCAGUGGGGAAUAUUGCACAAUGGGCGGAAGCCUGAUGCAGCAACGCCGCGUGCGGGAUGACGGCCUUCGGGUUGUAAACCGCUUUCGCCUGUGCCGAAGCGUGAGUGACGGUAAUGGGUAAAGAAGCACCGGCUAACUACGUG